UUUCACUUCUCUCUACCUCUAUACUAUUUUUUCUCUCUCUUCUAUGUAACUAAAAUAGAUCUGAAACCUAAACUCUCUGCAUUUCAUCUUUUUCUCCCAACCUAAACUCUAUGCAUUUCAUCUCUUCCUCUCUUAAGCUAACAAGAUUUCUGUCAAAUACGUGAGUUUGCAUCUGAAAUGGUGGAUCUGAAGUGUAAACUGACGAUGGCGUUAUGGUUCUGUGUAUUGAUUCAUGGUGAGUAUACAGUGAUUAUAGGGAAGCGUGAAUGAAGAUGGCAGAGCUUUCCUGGUCGAAAAAGGGACCAGCAUGUGAUUUAUUUUGCGGUGGUGUCGCGGUUGGACUGAGUGGGACACGGUGGUUUCUGACACAGGUUGAUUUUAUCCCUCUUCUGUCUUCUCUACUUUCUUUUGUUUUUCUUCCUUCUUUGAUAUGUUUGUUUUAAUCGAAACAAAACUUGAAUGUUGCCCCUUUCAUCCUUUUGUUUCUUUUGAAUAAUAAUGCAUUUCACAUAUUCAAUGAAAGUCCACAACAAUGUUGUUAUGGAGCUGAUGCGAGGUUCGUGGAAAUGGUAAAGUUCGGGAAAGGGAAAUAGGGGCAGCAGAGAGAGCACUUUCUUCUAUUAGAACAACUAUUUCUGGAGAUCUGAAUGUAAAUGAAGGUAAAUAUUUCUAUCUUAAGGAGACACGUGCAUGAAUAGCGUAGCCGCUGUUAAGUUAUUUGAUAUCAGUUGAUUUCAAAAUUGAGAGUUCUUUCAAUGUGUGUGUCUUCUUUUAUAUUCAUAUGUUUCUAACAAAUAAACGGUACAAGAAGAAUUGAAAAUAGCUUCAAUGAUAUAAGUAUAUCUAGCACUGGAUUUGGCUUUGGAAGUGGCACUGGUUUUGGAUUGACAAAAGAGAUAUGCAGGAACUCAUUGUUGAGAAUGUGGUAACGUGCAUAUAAGUGCAAGUAGUUCUGAGGCUUCGAUAUUCUACAAUUCUACCGGCUACUUUGAUGAGUUUGUUUGGGGAGGCGCAUGGAUGUACUUUGCAAUCGAAAAUAACGCGUACCUUAAGGUUGCUACUAAUCUCGGUAUUGCUAUACAUGCUGGUGCUUUCUGGGGAGGCCCUGAUUAUGGAGUACUGAGCUGGGAUAACAAGCUUGCUCAUGCACAGGUAAUUUUGUUGAGAUUCUUUGUGAAUGCUCAUGCGUUCGUAUAUGUUGUGGCUGUUUUGUGUUCUUGAAACUAGGUUGCAACCUGAUCUUUAUUUGUUUUGGUCUCUCUGCUUAUUUAUGUUUUUCUUACUGCUUGUAUUGUUUAUCCGUUGGCGCUGACAUGACAGAAGUUGUAAUGUCCAAGGGUUAUGUUUUUGGGGGCAGCUUCAAAAGUAAUAACACUUUUUACUAGCACAAAAUCCACUGAAUGCUGAUGCUUUUCUUUGCCUUCUCAAGACACUGAUUUAUUUAUGAUUUAAGAGCAAGGAGAAGCACUUUAACGUCAUCAAAAUUCAAUAUGUCAAACAAACUUUCAAUAACUUACAUUAUAGAAACAUAAUCUAGAGACAAUCCUUCAAGAAUUAAGGUGAUGAUUGAUCGAAAUCGGAUCACUAAUAAAGGUUAAUGUAUCGGUUGUUUUAGGAAUGCUAAGAAUAUAAUCAUCACGAAGAUGGUGUGUUUUAGCAUGAGUUUGCUUCUAAAAUUAAAGGAAAAAGACAAUCCCAGAGUUUAAUUAAGGUAUCUUAAUCAAUAACAUCAUCUUCAACUCAUGCUUCUAAUAAUGAAAACACGACUUUCACCAAUGAAAUUUGAUACUAAUGCAUAGGAUAAUUUUAGUAUAAGUUUGUUCUAAGUCAUUUAAUAAAAGAAAGGUACUUACGACUAAUUUCAAAGCACCAUUAUAGUAUUUGGUACACGUAUUUCUCUACUGUACAUAAAUAAUAAACUAAACAUAUUUUAUUUGUUUGUUGAAUAAUACCUUAGAAGAAGAAGCUUACAAAUAAAAAAUUAAACAGUUGGCAACAAAAUAUGAUAAUAAUAAUAAUGCAACUCUAUAGGGUUAUGGUAUAGUGUGCUUGUAUUUGUAAAUUUCUGCAUCUGUAAGGCGUGAUGGACUUAAGAGUCGGGUGUCUAAUGAUGCAACUCUAUAGAGUUAUGGUAGUGUGCUUGUAUUUGUAAAUUUUUGUACAAUGAGAAUAAACAAAGCCAUAAGUUUAUAUUGGUUUGGAUGUUGUAUCAUUUAUCAAUUUGGAGAUGACAAAUUGGAUAAAGUGAAGAACUGGACACAGGGUUUCAUCCUUAGAGUAGGUGAACCAUUUCAAAAUUUCCUUAUCCUUAUUCCAAUAGCACAACACAUCCUAAGCGAUGCCAUUAUACUGCUUUCUCUACUAUCUUCAUGAAACAGGUGGGGAAAAAGCUUGUGCUUAUUACCAACUCGGACUUUCAUUACACAGAAAAAAUGAUGCGACAUUAUUUUAAUGAGAAAUGCUAGCAACACUCUCUUUUCAACACUCUCUCUAGCACUGGCUUUCUUAUUGGUUGGAACAUAUGUGGGUCCUACCACUUUAUGUGGAAUCCAUUUCCAAAUUGAGGGACCCACACAUGUUUUAACCAAUAAAAAAGUGAGUGUUGAAGAGAGUGUUGAAAAGAGAGUGUUGCUACCACUCCUCUUAUUUUAAUAGAUUCGUUCCAAAUGAUACGGGUUGGAGAGAUCUUUUUGACAUUGUAAGUUAAUUUAACUUAUUUAUUCAAGAAAACUGAACUCUUAUGACAUCAGAGGGAUGAUAAGUGCUCUAUAUCCUCUCCAUUAUUUUGUUCAUUAUCAACCUUGUCCUAUUGUGAGAUAAGCCUUUCAUAAAUGGACGUGGCUCUUUUCAAUGGAUAGGUAAUUGUGUCGGCGAGAAAACCAGAGUUUUUCCAAACGUCAAGCCCCAUGUAUGAAUUGGUGACAGGUGAGGGUCUAAUGCGUUCAUGCUUCAAGGCUAAACCUGGUAAUUUGUACUCUUGAAGCAAAUAUAUGCUAGAAUUUACCAUUUUUUAUUUGUUUAUGUCAUAGUAAUAUAUAUCAAAAAUGCAACAAUCAUUUUAGUACUUGAAGACCCAUGCAGUUAUCAUUUAAAAUGUUUUUUUGGUUAAACAAUUUAAUUUUUCUUUCUUUUUAUUAUUAUUAUUAUUAUUAUUAUUAUUAUUAUUAUUAUUAUUAUUAUUAUUAUUAUUAUUAUUAUUAUUAUUAUUAUUAUUAUUAUUAUUAUUAUUAUAUUUUGAGAAUAAAUGCGCGGACCAUACCAAUACCCAUGUGAAUGCACGGGUAUCCUACUAGUUAUAAAUAAAAGAAGGAAUCAACUUGACUAUCAUAAGUGUAGUUAUAGGGUUUUUUUCUUUUUAACUUUAAAAAACAAUUUGAAAUAUUAGACCAGUUCAAUUGAUUUUCACUCACUCUAAUCUAUUAAAUAUGAACCUUCAAGUUAUGUACUUAAAUCACCGGUAACACUGCGGGCUAUAUGCAUGACCAUAUCAAUAUAUCAUGCAAAAGAAAUUAUUCAACUUCAUCUUUUCAUGUAUUAAAUAUAAUUGUUAGAUUCAUUCAUGUCAUAUGAAAAUGAAUAUUAUAUAUGUUAACAAUAUAAAGUGGUCGUAAACUACCAUCUCUAUUAUAUUUAUGUUAAUCUUAGGUCAUAUAUUUAUCUUCCCUACAAAUGUUUAUUUGAGUAUAUAUUGACCAC
Long non-coding RNA from Vicia villosa (hairy vetch), 3696 nucleotides. RefSeq lists it as uncharacterized. NCBI's taxonomy places the organism in Eukaryota, Viridiplantae, Streptophyta, Magnoliopsida, Fabales, Fabaceae. The record is from RefSeq and is a predicted model, not a curated record. The transcript is spliced from 3 exons.